RNAcentral lists this ribosomal RNA (474 nucleotides) under uncultured bacterium. RNAcentral's name for it is "bacterial SSU rRNA". It matches the Rfam family "Bacterial small subunit ribosomal RNA", at positions 335 to 799 of the family's 1533-position model. The record is from RNAcentral.
ACUCCUACGGGAGGCAGCAGUGGGGAAUAUUGCACAAUGGGCGCAAGCCUGAUGCAGCCAUGCCGCGUGUGUGAAGAAGGCCUUCGGGUUGUAAAGCACUUUCAGUCGUGAGGAAGGUAGUGUAGUUAAUAGCUGCAUUAUUUGACGUUAGCGACAGAAGAAGCACCGGCUAACUCCGUGCCAGCAGCCGCGGUAAUACGGAGGGUGCGAGCGUUAAUCGGAAUUACUGGGCGUAAAGCGCAUGCAGGUGGUUUGUUAAGUCAGAUGUGAAAGCCCGGGGCUCAACCUCGGAAUAGCAUUUGAAACUGGCAGACUAGAGUACUGUAGAGGGGGGUAGAAUUUCAGGUGUAAGCGGUGAAAUGCGUAGAGAUCUGAAGGAAUACCGGUGGCGAAGGCGGCCCCCUGGACAGAUACUGACACUCAGAUGCGAAAGCGUGGGGAGCAAACAGGAUUAGAUACCCUGGUAGGAUAGCG